This 87-nucleotide transfer RNA is filed under the name Candidatus Doudnabacteria bacterium CG10_big_fil_rev_8_21_14_0_10_42_18. RNAcentral describes it as "tRNA-Leu". It matches the Rfam family "tRNA". Rfam says of the family: Transfer RNA (tRNA) molecules are approximately 80 nucleotides in length. Their secondary structure includes four short double-helical elements and three loops (D, anti-codon, and T loops). Further hydrogen bonds mediate the characteristic L-shaped molecular structure. tRNAs have two regions of fundamental functional importance: the anti-codon, which is responsible for specific mRNA codon recognition, and the 3' end, to which the tRNAs corresponding amino acid is attached (by aminoacyl-tRNA synthetases). tRNAs cope with the degeneracy of the genetic code in two manners: having more than one tRNA (with a specific anti-codon) for a particular amino acid; and 'wobble' base-pairing, i.e. permitting non-standard base-pairing at the 3rd anti-codon position. The record is from RNAcentral. Lineage: Bacteria; Candidatus Doudnaibacteriota.
GCCGGUGUGGCGGAACUGGCAUACGCAACUGACUUAAGAUCAGUCGCCCGAAAGGGAUUGUGGGUUCAAUUCCCACCACCGGCACCA